Molecule: ribosomal RNA, 394 nt
Filed under: uncultured bacterium
Lineage: Bacteria
Description: bacterial SSU rRNA
Rfam family: Bacterial small subunit ribosomal RNA
Source: RNAcentral
GACGAACGCUGGCGGCGCGCUUAACACAUGCAAGUCGAACGUGAAGACCCGGGCGUUGCCCGGGUGGAAAGUGGCGAACGGGUGCGUAACACGUGAGCAACCUGCCCCGAACGACCGGGAUAACGAGCGGGAAACCGCUGCUAAUACCGGACUGCCCUCAUCAUGUCGCAUGGCGAGAUGAGGAAAUGGAUUCCGCUUCGGGAUGGGCUCGCGGUCUAUCAGCUUGGUGGNGAGGUAACGGCUCACCAAGGCUACGACGGAUAGCUGGUCUGAGAGGAUGUCCAGCCACACUGGGACUGAGACACGGCCCAGACUCCUACGGGAGGCAGCAGUGGGGAAUCUUGCACAAUGGGCGAAAGCCUGAUGCAGCGACGCCGCGUGCGGGAUGACGGCC